GCGGAGGAAAAGAAACUAACAAGGAUUCCCCUAGUAACGGCGAGUGAAGCGGGAAGAGCUCAAAUUUAAAAUCUGGCUUGCUUGCAAGUCCGAGUUGUAGUCUGAAGAAGCGUUUUCCAUGAAAGCUGAGGCACAAGUCCUUUGGAACAGGGCAUCAUAGAGGGUGAGAAUCCCGUCCAUGGUCUCAUGCAUUUCAUUUUGUGAUACGUUUUCUAAGAGUCAGGUUGUUUGGGAAUGCAGCCUAAAAUGGGUGGUAAAUUUCAUCUAAAGCUAAAUAUUGGCGAGAGACCGAUAGCGAACAAGUACCGUGAGGGAAAGAUGAAAAGAACUUUGAAAAGAGAGUUAAAAAGUACGUGAAAUUGUUGAAAGGGAACCGUUUGAAGCCAGUCUUGCUUACUUGUGAUCAAUCUUAGCUUCGGCUUGGAUGCACUCUCAAGUUAUGCAGGUCAACGUCAGUUUGAGAGGUGGGAAAAAAGUUUGAGGAAUGUGGCCUUCGGGUGUUAUAGCCUCUUACUAAAUACCAUCUCUUGGACUGAGGCUCGCAGCAAAAAUGUGGGUUGGUUUGCUCCUGAGGUGAAUCAUUAUUAAGACAGCUUGCUGACUUAGUUUUGUGGAUCUUCACGGUAGGCCAGCUUCUAAUUUGCUUAGGUCGUUGACAUAAUGGCUUUAAAUGAC
This 675-nucleotide ribosomal RNA is filed under the name Umbelopsis ovata. RNAcentral describes it as "eukaryotic LSU rRNA". It matches the Rfam family "Eukaryotic large subunit ribosomal RNA", at positions 50 to 648 of the family's 3401-position model. The record is from RNAcentral. Lineage: Eukaryota; Fungi; Mucoromycota; Umbelopsidomycetes; Umbelopsidales; Umbelopsidaceae.